Molecule: transfer RNA, 73 nt
Filed under: Dipodomys ordii (Ord's kangaroo rat)
Lineage: Eukaryota; Metazoa; Chordata; Mammalia; Rodentia; Heteromyidae
Rfam family: tRNA
About the family: Transfer RNA (tRNA) molecules are approximately 80 nucleotides in length. Their secondary structure includes four short double-helical elements and three loops (D, anti-codon, and T loops). Further hydrogen bonds mediate the characteristic L-shaped molecular structure. tRNAs have two regions of fundamental functional importance: the anti-codon, which is responsible for specific mRNA codon recognition, and the 3' end, to which the tRNAs corresponding amino acid is attached (by aminoacyl-tRNA synthetases). tRNAs cope with the degeneracy of the genetic code in two manners: having more than one tRNA (with a specific anti-codon) for a particular amino acid; and 'wobble' base-pairing, i.e. permitting non-standard base-pairing at the 3rd anti-codon position.
Source: Rfam by way of RNAcentral
GGAGCUAGGGCUCAACUGGUAGAGCAUCUGCCCAGCAAGCACGAGGUCCUGGGUUCAAACCCCACUACUGCCA